RNAcentral lists this ribosomal RNA (237 nucleotides) under uncultured bacterium. RNAcentral's name for it is "partial 16S ribosomal RNA". It matches the Rfam family "Bacterial small subunit ribosomal RNA", at positions 118 to 347 of the family's 1533-position model. The record is from RNAcentral.
UGAGCAAUCUGCCCUUCUCUUCGGAAUAAGCGUUGGAAACGACGUCUAAUGCCGAAUACGACCUCCUUUCGCAUGAUCGGAGGUGGAAAGCUCCGGCGGAGAAGGAUGAGCUCGCGGCCUAUCAGCUAGUUGGUGUGGGUAAUGGCCCUCAAGGCGACGACGGGUAGCCGGCCUGGAGAGGGUGACCCGGCCACACGUGGGACUGAGACACGGUCCAGACUCCGUACGGGAGNAGCG